Molecule: signal recognition particle RNA, 310 nt
Filed under: Halobellus clavatus
Lineage: Archaea; Methanobacteriati; Methanobacteriota; Halobacteria; Halobacteriales; Haloferacaceae
Description: Archaeal signal recognition particle RNA
Rfam family: Archaeal signal recognition particle RNA
Source: Rfam by way of RNAcentral
GGAUGGACUAGGUCGGGCAGCUAGGCCCUGCUCGUCACCUGCAAUUUGGCCUUCAGCAGGGACCGAACCCGGGGGCGUCCGGUCAGACCGACGCGGGCCCCGGAAGCCAACGUAGAAACCUCGUCCUUCGGGGACGGCGGUUCGCGGUCGCCGGCCGCAGGGUCGGUCCGCCGCGAUUCGACGCCGGCAGCCCGUCAGGCGCGGAAGCGAGCAGCGGACCGGUGAACGUUCGUCGCUCGGAGGAUCGCGGGGUGGAGGAGGCGACCGGGAUUCCCCGUGCCGGAACGCCGGGCAAUCCCGCUGUCCACCA